CCUACGGGUGGCAGCAGUGGGGAAUAUUGCACAAUGGGGGAAACCCUGAUGCAGCGACGCCGCGUGAGCGAUGAAGUAUUUCGGUAUGUAAAGCUCUAUCAGCAGGGAAGAAAAUGACGUUACCUGACUAAGAAGCCCCGGCUAACUACGUGCCAGCAGCCGCGGUAAUACGGAGGGGGCAAGCGUUAUCCGGAUUUACUGGGUGUAAAGGGAGCGUAGACGGCUGUGCAAGUCAGAGGUGAAAGCCCGGGGCUUAACCCGGGAACUGCUUUUGACACUGUGUGGCUGGAGUGUAGGAGAGGAAAGCGGAAUUCCUAGUGUAGGGGUGAAAUGCGUAGAUAUUAGGAGGAACACCAGUGGCGAAGGCGACCAGCUGGAAGAUAACUGACGUUGAGGCUCGAAAGCGUGGGGAGCAAACAGGAUUAGAUACCCUGGUAGUC
Molecule: ribosomal RNA, 440 nt
Filed under: uncultured bacterium
Lineage: Bacteria
Description: partial 16S ribosomal RNA
Rfam family: Bacterial small subunit ribosomal RNA
Source: RNAcentral